Molecule: long non-coding RNA, 679 nt
Filed under: Ursus americanus (American black bear)
Lineage: Eukaryota; Metazoa; Chordata; Mammalia; Carnivora; Ursidae
Description: lncRNA (ENSUAMG00000024970.1)
Source: RNAcentral
AAUUGGGGAGGCGGCAUCCGGGGACAGCGCGGACACCAUGGGCUGCUGUUCCGGCCGCUGCACGCUCAUCUUCCUCUGCACUUUCCAGCUGCUCGUGGGCUUCGUCUGUGCCUGCUACGUGGUCCGCGUUCUCACCGAGGAGGAGGACAGCUGUAUGUGCGGCCGCCGGGCUCCCACAACAGCCUCUUCGCGACCUGGCAUGGAUGCUCCAGGCAACGGGGGAGGAAGGGGAAGCGGAGGUGGUGACUCUGCGUUCUCCUGGCCUGUCGUUGGCAAAGCCUGAGACCUCGCCUCUUAGAGGGAUCCCCAUGCCCUCAGGGGUCCUUGGCUGAGCAGAGGGGUGGAUGGCCCAGCGCCCUGAGAACAGAUGAGGAGGGGCCCCGGGCUGUGGACACCAGGGGUCAGCUCACACCCCAGCCCCCAGGUCCAAGGGCUCCUAUGCUGCAGGGCUGGGGCCCUCUGCCUCCUUGCAUCUGAGAACCAGGCCCUACUGGCCAUGAUGUCCCCAUCGGGCCCCCAGUGCCAGCUGGACCCAUCUGAGCAGCAUUUUUGCUUCCUGCUUACAGAGGGGGGCCCCCUUGACCUUGGUCUGAUUGCCGACUUCAACGCUCCGGCGCUCUUGCCAGCCCUGACACCCCUGGCUCUGAUGUGGUUUCCCGGGAAGACUCCGCAGAGUUGA